This 715-nucleotide long non-coding RNA is filed under the name Neodiprion lecontei (redheaded pine sawfly). RNAcentral describes it as "uncharacterized LOC124295012". The record is from RNAcentral. RNAcentral also lists the same sequence under 1 other name. Lineage: Eukaryota; Metazoa; Arthropoda; Insecta; Hymenoptera; Diprionidae.
CCACCGUUCGCGAAGGCUCUCAGCUCACGCGAUCAGUGAAUCAGUCUAAUUUGACCAACUUCCGAGGUCAGUGCACGUCCGUGUUUAUGUGAGCCUUCAUAAGCUGGUAUUUGACGGAUUAGCAGUGAUAUCGAGGAAGUGAAUGCUCCAGCUGCGGUCGAAUAAUAAUUAAAACUUAUGCGUACUGCGUACCUAGACAACGCUUUCUAUAGCGUCUGUGUUCUUUUUUGAAAUAAUGUGCCAAUACUUUUUAUUAUUUUACUUUGUCAGGAUUGUGAUUUUUUACCUAGUCCCGAGAUGAAAGUUAACAAUUUUCCUCGUUAGGGUAUAAUCAUUGUAUGAUUAUUUUGUUUCAUGUUUUAUUUGUUAUCAAACCUCUUGUAUCGGAUAUAAGUUUUUGUUUGUUCAUGUUCACUUAAUUUUACUAUUUGCUAUACUUCUAUACUCUUGUGAGUACAUCUGUACAAUUGAGGUAUGCGUAUAUGUAAAAGACUGUAUGUUUAUUUAUACAUCCCAGUCAACAUUCACACAGUUACAUCGUUGGCAUAAUAAAAUGUCCGCAUCAACGAUACAGACAAACUGGUAUAUAAAAAACUACUGUUAUGUUUCGGAUACAUUGUUAAAGCGGAUAUUUCGAUACGUGUGCAAUGUAACUAUUGUCAUUGUUGCCUUGGAUGAAAGUACCUUAUAAUAAAUAUAUAUCAUGUUUCGCAAA